GUUUGAUCCUGGCUCAGGAUGAACGCUAGCGGCAGGCUUAACACAUGCAAGUCGAGGGGUAUAGGUUUUCGGACCUAGAGACCGGCGCACGGGUGCGUAACGCGUAUGCAAUCUACCUUUUGCAGAGGGAUAGCCCAGAGAAAUUUGGAUUAAUACCUCAUAGUAUAUAUGAAUGGCAUCAUUUAUAUAUUAAAGUCACAACGGCAAAAGAUGAGCAUGCGUCCCAUUAGCUAGUUGGUAUGGUAACGGCAUACCAAGGCGACGAUGGGUAGGGGUCCUGAGAGGGAGAUCCCCCACACUGGUACUGAGACACGGACCAGACUCCUACGGGAGGCAGCAGUGAGGAAUAUUGGACAAUGGGCGCAAGCCUGAUCCAGCCAUGCCGCGUGCAGGAUGACGGCCCUAUGGAUUGUAAACUGCUUUUGCACAGGAAGAAACAUCCCGACGUGUCGGGACUUGACGGUACUGUGAGAAUAAGGAUCGGCUAACUCCGUGCCAGCAGCCGCGGUAAUACGGAGGAUCCAAGCGUUAUCCGGAAUCAUUGGGUUUAAAGGGUCCGUAGGCGGUCUUAUAAGUCAGUGGUGAAAUCUCCCCGCUCAACGGGGAAACGGCCAUUGAUACUGUAGGACUUGAAUUAUUAGGAAGUAACUAGAAUAUGUAGUGUAGCGGUGAAAUGCUUAGAGAUUACAUGGAAUACCAAUUGCGAAGGCAGGUUACUACUAAUGGAUUGACGCUGAUGGACGAAAGCGUGGGUAGCGAACAGGAUUAGAUACCCUGGUAGUCCACGCCGUAAACGAUGGAUACUAGCUGUUGGGAGCGAUCUCAGUGGCUAAGCGAAAGUGAUAAGUACCCCACCUGGGGAGUACGUUCGCAAGAAUGAAACUCAAAGGAAUUGACGG
RNAcentral lists this ribosomal RNA (899 nucleotides) under uncultured bacterium. Its description in RNAcentral is "bacterial SSU rRNA". It matches the Rfam family "Bacterial small subunit ribosomal RNA", at positions 11 to 916 of the family's 1533-position model. The record is from RNAcentral.